This 400-nucleotide ribosomal RNA is filed under the name uncultured bacterium. RNAcentral describes it as "bacterial SSU rRNA". It matches the Rfam family "Bacterial small subunit ribosomal RNA", at positions 355 to 770 of the family's 1533-position model. The record is from RNAcentral.
UUAGGAAUCUUGCGCAAUGGGAGAAAUCCUGACGCAGCGAUGCCGCGUGAGGGAUGAAGGCCUUCGGGUUGUAAACCUCUUUUAGUUGGAACGAAAAAAAUGACGGUACCAGCAGAAAAAGCACCGGCUAACUCUGUGCCAGCAGCCGCGGUGAUACAGAGGGUGCAAGCGUUAUUCGGAAUUACUGGGCGUAAAGCGCGCGCGGGCUGUCUAGCAAGUCUGAUGUGAAAUCCCCUGCAAAAACAGGGACGUGCAUUAGAUACUACUAGACUAGAGUAUAGGAGGGGAGAGUGGAAUUCCUGGUGUAGAGGUGAAAUUCGCAGAUAUCAGGAGGAACAACGGUGGCGAAGGCGACUCUCUGGACUAUUACUGACGCUGAGGCGCGAAAGCGUGGGGAGCA